GAACAAAGACUUUUGUGGUCAGGUUGAUCGUGCCCCCCCGGGAUCAAUAACCUUCUGGAGUUGGUGUAUCGAUUGCUAAGACGCUGCCUCCUAUGCCAUAGUCAAAUCGUCAACAUCACCUCCUACCCAAAUCGAGAGUUAUCAAUCUCAUUGAAAGAUCAGGCCACCCCCGAGCCACAUCACAAAGAGUAUCACACAUCUGGCCUCUGCGCCGAGACGCAGAUAGCCAAAGUACUACACCACAAACUUAUUACAUCAAAAGAAAUAUAACGACUUUAAUUAGACUCAAUCCGGUGACUAGACCGUCACCCAUGAUGGCUAAAAAUGUCCCUGACCACUUGCUCAAACUUGCUGCACGCCAUCAAAGCCAGUUGGCGAUCCGUCGGCUUGAGUAGCGUAGACCAAGUACGGAGUCAAAGUGUGCAUGUAUAUAAGACCUGUGUAAGAGAAGUUAAUUUCUUGCAAUUAAAAAAUGAUCAUUUCUGCAUAGUCAAAUUGCCAACAUAAACCUGCAGCCCCAACCAAAAUAAGUGCUCUCAAUCUAUUAUUAACCCCACGUAAGCAAGACUCAAACAUAUGAGGAACAUCAUGUGGGGGAUAAAGAUUAUAAGCUAUUUGGUCGACUAUUGAUCAUACAGAUCGAGAAACAUGACACCGAAAAAAGAGGCGUGCAAUAGUCUCAUUCUGAUGACAGAAGCUGCACUUUGAGCUACUCUUUCAAUUCCGCUUUAGCAGGUUGUCUUUUCAGUUUGCACGUCUAUCUACAAAAUUACAAGAGAAAAGUAUGUUUUAGUCCCUCAAUUGACAAAGUUUAAAACGGUCUCUCAACUCAAACCUCAUUUGGUCUCUCAAUUGACAAAACCGGAUACUCUUAGUCCCUCUUCCAGUUGGCAUUGUUUUUUCAUAAAAUUAACAAAAUCCAUGUUAGAUGCCACGAUGUAAAUUGGGGGGAUAAAAGGUAUGGAAUUUCGAGUUCAGUGACCAUUUAUAUGAGGAAUGCCAUCGAGACAUCUGAUGUGAAAUUCGGGGAAAAACCACUCAACGCAGAGCCAAAACCAUUCCAAAUUCAGAAGGACAUGUAAAUUGACAGACCAAAUGUAUAUACUAUACGAUUUCGAGUUAAGGGAUCAUUUCUAUACUUUGCUGCCAAAUGAUGACAAAAAUACGCUUUUCUCAAAAAUUACCUAAUUAAGUGCUAGACCAAGUAUUAAUGCAACGUGCAUUCCUAUCUCUCUUCUUAGUGCACCGGUUGAUUUUAAUAUUGGCAACCAAAUUACACAUAAGCUAGUGUGGUCGCAACUAAUUUGGCCUGUUCCCAAAGCAAAUGGGUUUACAAACUGAAAUGUUUGGAAUUCUGGGACAUGUCUUACAAACUGAAAAGGAGAGAGUAUAAGGUCAAUCAUAAGUUUUGUACCACUUGUUUCAUUUUUAAGUUCUUGUUCUCACGCUUCCGAUUUAUGUACUACGUACAUUAUUACGUCAUUAAAACACAUCCAUCAACUACUUUAAGAGAUAUAGUAUGGCACGCGGUGCACAUCUUCCAAUCAAGGCAAUCGUGGGCUUGCUAAGGCCGAAUUUGCAGAUUUGCUCUCAAGAAGCCCAUCCGACUCCAGAACGGAAACCCCAGUCUUUUUUUUUCUAGUAAAUGACGCGGCGCCGCAGCACAGCACAGACAUGUGGGUCCCCGUCCAAAACCUCCGAUCCUUCAGCCCCCACCAACUCUUAAACCCGAAACAAGCCUUCUCCUUUCCCGUGCCGUGCUCCGUCUCCGCGAAAACCACGAGCGCAACGCCACCGCCAACGGGGCGCAGACUCAAGGUACCCUCCCCCUCCCCGCUCCCCCCGCUCCUCUCGAAUUCGUGUGCCGCUGUCUCGGAUUCGCUUUCUCUGGCCUACCGGGCGGUGCGGUUCCGGGUUCCAGCCGGGGAUUGCGGCGUUCCAUUUUGGGGGCGAUUUACGGGACCUCGGAUUAGUUCGAGACUCUGGUUCUCCAAGCAGAAACCCCAUUCGUUUGGUCUAAUCGGGGCUGACACCGUGGGUUUUUGUAUGUGUUGCAUAUCCCUAACCAUUGUUGUUCCAAUUGCCAUGGUGCGUGCUGCUGCUUGACAUCGAGCGGUGUUCGAGCUUGAUCAGCUUGCCGUGUGCUGCAAUUUAAACCUAAUCUUGCACUAUUUGUUCCUCCUUUUGGGGGGAUCCUUGCUGUUAUGUACUUGUUCAGGUCUCUAUGAGCAUUCCUAGCAUGCUUCUAUUGCGCAUCUGUGUAAAUAACUGUACUGCAUUCAUCCUUGUUCUGCCUGAGUUCUUGCUUUCGGAGUUCGGACUCUCUUCAAAUCAAAUGGAACUUAACUGGAACAUACUGCUGGCUGUAAUCCUUUAUUUCUAGUUCUGCUUCAUUAUUUUAUUUGUCUUGUCUAUCUGUUUUGAUGCCUCAGUGCUAGUGGGGAUAUCUGAGAAUGCACAGAAAAAUUUGACAGUUGCAUUUGUCUAUCUGUUUUGAUGCUUCAGUGCUAGUGGGAAUGGUCGACGUGCACAAAAAUUCCACAGAAAGAUGGGUUACUCAAAUGGUCAGGAAAUCUCAUGGACGAGAGGGAAAUGAAGUUAUGGGGACUGUCAUGGAACAAGGCUUUUCUCAUCUAGACUCUGCAGAUGAUACCAAUUGCUCUGCUGGUGAAAAUAGAUACCCUGGCUGGCCUGGAACCACUGUCUUUAGGAUGCUAAUUUCCUCGACAAAAGUCGGUGCGAUAAUUGGUCAGAAAGGAGAGAGGGUUAGAAGACUGUGCGAGGAAACAAAAGCCUCUGUCCGUGUAAUAGGUGGUCAUUUUGCUGCAGCAGAGCGGGUUGUAAGUUACCCACUGACCAUAUAUCUCAUUUCUUCGUUUGUACUUUCCUUAUUUGUCUAGAAUCUGGCUGAAUUUCUUACAAGAAUCUGUUGACGUGCAAUUGAAUAUUUAGAAUAGGUGUCUUUUGUACUUUAUUGCACCCAAAAAUAUCACGGUUCUUUGGAUAUACCAAAGUGUCUCAUGUUUACACUAAAUUUUGUAUGCCAUCAAACUUGGUUUACACGGUCAUCUUAACUAUAGUCCACAUGAGGUUAAUAGGUGCAUUAUCAUGGACAUGGACAUGAGGUUUAUAGAUACAUCAUCAUGGACCAUAGUUGCCAGGAAUCCGGGUUGUCCAGGUCGAGGAACGGGGUCGAGGGAUGUGGGCCAACACUUCUCCGGAUCAAGGUGCAACGAAGGGUAUACCUCUUUGGGUCACUAAUCUGGGAUGAUGGGUCGUGAAGCCAGGUCGACGAUACCAGUACAAUAGAGAUUUCUGCGUUGUGAAACUACAAGUACCCAUCUUCAGAAGUUACCAUGAAGCUACAAAUUCUGAUGAUCAGAGAUAAGCUGGGCUGGCCUAGAACAGUUCACAACUUCAGAACCCUAUCAUCUUCUUCUAGUCCCCAUCAUGAACACCACCGCCUAAGUUCUCCUCAAGGCUCCGACCACCAAUUCUCUCGUUCCUCCCCGAGCUAGAGCACAUAUGCUAGAUUGAAACAUUGGUUAACAUGCCAUUUAUGCCCUUCCUAGUAUAUAUGGUUUCCAUUUAUCAAAUAGAAACAACCAACCUAAUAUUAAAGUGAUUCUAUUUAUGCACUACCCCUCAACAAAUUUGUACAUGACAUGGCAAAUUUUGGAAGAGCUGAGGUGGAAAAAAUAGAUGGAGAAUCUUACCACUAAAUUCUAGAGACAACUCGAGCUACGGCCCAGGGAGCGAUUAAUCCUUAAGAAACUGGAUCUGUUUCUAGACGGUGUAGAGGAGCGCAAAGGCCAGCGUUACGGCAAUUGCCAACUCGGACAAAGCAGCGAGUACGAGAGCACCCAGCUGCUUCGGCCAGACUGAGCAAUUAGCGAUCGAUGGUCUCUGUUGUCUUCCUCUGUGAUUACCAUGUACAAGUUUGUGGAGACUGGAGUGCAUAAUGUUUACAAGUUCGCUGAGAUACGGAACAUGGUCAUGGACAAAACAGCAAUUAAUUAGGCAAUAUCUGGGGUUGCAGCAGCGUGGAGGCCUUGGAGGGCUGGUCCGGAUACCUUCCUCAUGGUCCAAUGUGGUGCUCACGUAACUAUUAGGAGCUAAUUUCUGUUGAAAAAAGAAUUACAGGUCCGGGUGCCUGUGCACCAGGGAGAGCUAACGUAGGUUUGCCCAUAAUCAUGAAUGUCGACAGGGUAUUUUCGCAGCAUGGUCUGUCAUUCCUCUAAUGUGAUUGCCACUGGCAAGGAUUUGACUUCUAAAAAUUCAGUGGUACAAUGUUUUAUGCUUAGUUUUCAAUUAUGUUGAAUCUUAGCUUGUUUUGUUUUUAUACCAGACAUGCUUUACUCCGUGUCCUCUCUUAUUGUAUAUCAGCACAAGUGGCAAUAUAAUUGUCCUACAAAAGACGGAUUUCAGUUCAUGGAGAGGAAGCAUUGCUUAUGUUUCAGUUUUCCUAAGAAGUUAUUUUGUUUUUUUUUCAUUUGAAGGUUUUGAUUUUUGCAAAGGAGCAACCAGAUGAGCCAAUACCUCCAGCUAUGGAUGCGCUACUAAGAGUAUAUCAGAACAUAGUUAAUGAUGAUGGUUUAGGCAUGGGGUCUGACAGUGCGGUUGUGACCCGUAUUCUUAUACCAAGUGAGCAGGCACUAAACCUUAUUGGCGAGCAGGGUUCGAUGAUAAAUCUUAUUGAGGAAGCUUCUCAAACCGACAUUCGUGUCCUUGGUAAGUUCCUUGCUCUGGCCUACCUCUAAACCCACUUUUCCACAGCCAUUGCUUUCUUCCAUUGAUAUUGGUGUUUGUCAUAAUAUACUAAUUUAUACAUGUGGGUCUUUGGAUGAUUCACACAUAGAGUUAAAGUACUAAAAAUCUCUCCUAAAAAAGUACUAAAAAUCUGUCAGUAAGGAACAUGAAUUCCAGCUUACUUAAGCACAAAGUUGCUGCAAUGAAAUUGACAUCUCAAAUGCAUGAUGCUAUGUUGCUCAAUCAUGACUAAACACCUGCUAUUGCGUUAGCAUAUUCUCUCAAACAUGGUUACACUAGUCAAUCCUAGGCUUAAAAUGCACUUCUGAAGUUUAGUGUUGCUGUAGUGAUGGUUUGUGUCUUAUUGAUCUAUAUCCGUGCUACUUUUUUCUCGUAUCAUUGUUAGGCUCGCAUCUCUAUUAAUUUUGGUUAGAAAAAAUCUUUCAAGUUGCUAGUGAAGGCACAAGCAGAGAAGUCAAUCAAUGUAUAAUUUGAUCUAGUUCAUUUACCUGCAAAGGGUUCGGAUAUAGUACAAUAUUCAUUUAAAAAAAUGAAGUCCUCAAAUUGGCCAUGCAAUCUCAUGUAUUCUUGGCAUAACUAAUUUCUUGUAUUUUUUGUAGUAUAUCCACUUGCAACAAAAUUAUUGCCCAUCAAUGACAAUUACGACAAUGGCACCAUUUAGGUAAAGAAGUGUAUCAUCUUUAAAAAAAUGAGAUGAAUCGCAAUUUACAUUGCAUCCAAGCAGGUUUCGGUUUUUAUGCCCUUAAGUUCACUUUUAUUUCAAACUAGAAUGUAUCUAUUUUUAUUGCUACGAAUUGCAUUCUAUCCUUACCAUCUGUUGAUUGGCAGUUUCAGUUUGCCAUUCUUUCAGUUGAUGUCCUUCGGUUUAUUGUCCCAGCUUUCAGUAUUUUUAGCCAGUAUGCCAUUACUCAUUACUUGCAUGGUUUGACUGUGUAGAUUGUAACUUGCCGCCAGCUGCGCUUGAUGAAGAUAGGAUUGUUGAAAUAUGGGGACAACCUACACGAGUGCGGAAGGCUUUAGAACUUGUUGCUCGUCAUUUGAGAAAGUAUCUGGUUGAUCGAAGUGUCAUCCCAUUAUUCGACCCUCAUGUAAGUAGUUCCACUGUUUUAAACAUUUCUCACUCAACGGGCAAUUAAAGUUAGUACAUUUUUCAAAACCUUCCAAUAUUUAAUCCUGAUAUCGUUUCUUCUUUAGGUGCCUAUGACGACGUCACACGUGGACACGUCCCCAUGUUACUACAGUGACCAUCCUGAGGGCCCUCUGCAAGCAAUUAGUUCAGUAUAUGCUGAAGAUCUUCACCGUCAACCUCCAUGGACUGAUAGUUGCUAUCCGAGGGGCAGGUAUCAUGUGGAAACUGACGUAACUGGGUACAGAUGGGAAGCACCUACAUGUUUUGGAAGAUAUCGAUCAGUUACGCCUCCAUGUAUGGGUGCAUAUAGACAAGAAACAUCUUCACCCAUGGAAGCAUAUCUAUCAGCUCCAAUGGGAUUAAGUUCGCACCACAACCUUACUUCAUAUGGAUCACAAUCAACUCCACCAAUUGGUACAUCAGCUGCUGCUGAAAGAAUACGCUCCCUUAUAUCAGUAUAUGGACAACAAACACAUCCAGUGGGGAAGGUAUAUCAAUCAGCCAACAUGGGAAACCAUCCACACUUGGAAACAUCUUUAUAUGGAAGUGAAUAUCAUCCAAGUAGGCUAUCUCCAUCAACUGCCACUAAUCUACCUCCAACUCAUGGUGUGUCUGAAGAUGGACUACAAGCAUCACCAUCCAUGAGGAUGCAUCCACCAGCCACUGUGGAAAACCUUCUGCACUGUCGUGUGUCUGCGUGUGGGCCAGAUGUACUGCUGCCUGUGGUUGUGCCUUCAUUAACUAGCAAAUCACCAGCAAUCACUUCGCAGGUCUGUAUGGUUUCUAUUGUACGAGUUUCUAUGCCUGUGCACAUAUUUGAGUUGUCUUGUGAUGGUGGAUUAUGUUAUGGACCCCGGUCCACAAUGGUUAAAUUGGGUAGGGUAAGGUCUGAAGACCAGGAUAGGGCACAGUCUGGCGGCAGGCUCUUCCUUGACAUGAUUAGAGAGGCUCUGAGGCUUUGGGAAACUUUUGAUUAUUGGUUGAUUGCUUAAAAAAUUUACACUCCAGUCCUUUAUAUAGGACGACUAACUUUAGUCUGUGGCACGAUGCGAUCCAUGUCUUCUUUCCUCCAUUAUUCGUGUUCAUUGAAUGACAACAUGAUUCAACCAAUCUUGUGGAUUUUCAUGGUUGUUGUAGGUUGGAAACCCCAGGUCGCUCAACAGCGACGCUCGGGCCAUCAUGGCGUUCACCAUCUAGAGAUCGUAACCCCUGCUGCAAGCCAUGGAUGGCGUGGCAGGAGUUAACUCUAAUACCAAAUUGUUAUGGACCAGGAUAGGGCAUCUCCCUUAACAAUUUGGCGGCAGGGCUCGUCCCUGACGCGACCAGAGAGUCUCUGAGGCUUUGGGAAACUUUUGGCGGAUGAAUUCCGACAGCCCAUUAUGGGACUGUCAGAAAGAGAUUUUGCUUCCUUUUUUAUCCUGCUUUUAAUUUCUAUCCUAAGCACUUUUACUUUUCCUAACUUUUGGUUUUCUGCACUUUCGGUUUUCUUAAGUUUUGAUUUUUUUACUUUAUAUUUCCCAUAAACUUUGAUCUUUUUUAUGGACUUUUAACUUUUUGGACUUACGAAGAAAAAGAAACACACACACGCACACACAAAACACGCACAACUUACACAUGGGUUGCCCGGCGUGGGAGGAGCCGUGGUGACGGGCACGUGGAGGAGCACAGCUGCCCGGCAGAGAGGAGCCAGAGCAGCACAGAUCCAGCCUCGACGAUGAAUAGGAGGGAGCUGCGAUGGUGGCUCGCGGAGGAGCACGAACACUCUGCUGAGGAGCUGCGGCAGCGAGAUCCGCCAUGACGACGAACGGGAUGGAGCUGCAGGGCGCAGAUCCGGGCCGGGAUCUCCAUGGUGGGGCGGCCUACCGGCCCUCCGGCCACGAUGACAAGCUGGGAAGGAGGACGUCCACGACGCGUGUGGGGGGAGGUUGGCCGGCCGAUAGGGAGCAGCAGUAGCGGCGCGAGGGGAGGAGCUUCGGUGUGGAAGAACUGCGGCUGUUGGCGUGGAGGAGUGGUGGCAGCACGCGGGAUGGAGAAAGAGGGGAAGAGUUGUGGGAAUAUGAAGGAGAUGGGG
Molecule: long non-coding RNA, 7970 nt
Filed under: Brachypodium distachyon (stiff brome)
Lineage: Eukaryota; Viridiplantae; Streptophyta; Magnoliopsida; Poales; Poaceae
Description: long non-coding RNA (BDIS_LNC003408)
Source: RNAcentral